RNA transcript from Pocillopora damicornis (cauliflower coral), 2173 nucleotides. It is a transcript of the gene named RING finger protein 145, with no coding region annotated. The record is from RefSeq and is a predicted model, not a curated record. Lineage: Eukaryota; Metazoa; Cnidaria; Anthozoa; Scleractinia; Pocilloporidae.
UUUUGCUGCCAGACAGAGAGUGUUUCCGGGAAAAGUAUGGCGUUGGGCGAAGUUAUAUUUCGUGUGCCGUUUCUGGUCCUUUUAGAGUGGUUCCUUUGCGUGGAUAUCACACAUUACAGUGACUGGACGCCUUAUGCAAGAUUAAUGCAGCUAUCGGGAAUCAUUUUAUGUUUGGUACUAUCCCUUCUUGGCCGAGAUGAACUCAUUAAUUUCUACAGCCACUCUCUUUUCAUUACUGUGGUGACAUUUAUGCUGUACUUGAAUGCAUACAACAGCUUAAAUCUGUACAAUGCCUUAGAGGAACAAGGUCUCUCAAAGUUGAUUACGGAAGAUGGUGCAAUAUUUCUGCUAUUAAUGAUAACUGGAGCUUGGAUGGUCUAUUUAAUAUCACUUGGAAUGUACUCACGGGUGUAUAACUCUUUGAAACCAGUUAUGUUUUCAAUGGCAGCGUUCCCUGUUAUGUUACGGCAUAUGUCAGCUUCAAAUCAGAAAGAUGAUCCACCCUUAUGGCUCUGCAUUUGCUUUGGUUUUGCGUUUUAUUUGGCUAUAACAGGCACCUAUCAGUGCAUUCAUGAUAUUGUCACGCAUUUUAUUACAUCAGCACAAAUUAUCCAGUGGAUGUACAGAAUGUAUGGGUUGACUGUCACUGUUGUGUUUCACUGGCGCAGAGUGAAAGUUCCGUUCUGUAUGAUGACUCUAUGGGGGAUAUUAUUUUUAUACAACAGUUUGAGUUUUUUGCUGUUCUCCAGUGAAUCAGUAACAGUUUUGCAGCUGUUUAAUUUAACAAUGGCCUUAACUUGCAACUCAGUUCUCUCAAUGACAUCAUGUUGUUUCAUAAUUUACAAGCUAUCUGGAUAUAUACUGAAUAUCAUCAAACGAUACCAUCAUGAGGAUAACAUUGCCCCCCCUGGUGACCCUUACAGCUCUCCUGAUGGUCUUAGAGAAGGUUUCGGAUUUUUCUUUCUUGGUCUUUACACUGGACUUUCAAGUUCAAAGAUAAGUAGAAAGCUUGUGCUUUUGGAAUUGAUUUUUUAUCUAAUCAUUUCAGCUUUAGCAAGAUCAAUGUUUGAAAUAACUGAACCUGUUCUCUUGGGGCUUGCAUCACAACCAAGCAUCAUCUACCGCAAACAUUUACGUGUUUUGUCAUUUUGCAUUUCACUCCUGGGAGCGUCUAUUUAUCUGGCGGUAAAUUUGUACUUUUUAAAAGAGAAAAUUCCUUUCAUUACUCCAAAUGUCAUUACCAUUGCUCAGAUAAUUGCUGCACUUGUAUUGUACUUCUUGUAUGUGUACGAGUCACGUCAAACUCAAAUAUGGGAAGAACUGGAUGACUAUGUGUACUUCAUCAAUGGCUCCUGUAAAGUUUUUGAAUUUGUGGUCAUCUCAGCCGUUCUUUUCUACAGAGUUUGUGACUUCAGUUUAGAGUGGACACUGUUUCAAAUUGUUAUGGCAGUGCUGCAUCUCUACUUUAAUAUCUGGACUCCUGCUAAGGAAGGUUGGCUAAGUUUAAAACAGCGUCAUCAGGUGAAUCAAAAACUGAACUCAUUGCCAUCAGCAACAGAGAAAGAAAUUGAUGAACUUGAAGAUGUUUGUUCAAUCUGUUUGGAGGAGUUGAAAGCUGCAAAAGUAACUCCUUGUAGACAUUAUUUUCACAGUUUAUGCCUUCGAAAAUGGUUAAAUGUCCAAGACAAAUGCCCCAUGUGCCAUACAGCUCUGCUAUCACUAUAAACAUAGAAACUUUCUCUCUGCAACUCUUUUAAGACAAGGCACAUUUUACAUCAAGUCUUUGUCACAUGCUAUACCCAGUAGUCACUGCAACUGAAGGCCUGGCACAUCAGUGAACAGUGUUAAGAGGGCCAAGACCUAACAGUGGAAGGACAUUUGUUUCAUUAAAUCAACCCCCCUAACCCUUUAACUCCCAGAAGUUAUUAACAUGUAACUUCUCCCUAUAAUAUCUAUACACUAUCCAGCCAACAGGUAAUGAGAAUACUCAAACUUAUCAAGUAGAAGUUUUUAACUCGAUCAAACACCAAAUUCUUGUAACUAUCCUGCAAGGAACUGUGUAACAGCCAGUGAAGAGAAUAAAGAAUCAGAUCCUGGGAGUCAAAGGGUUAAAGUGAAAGCCAGAGGCCCACUGAUUGUUUAAAACUGUGGUUUGGGUUAGACCUCAUGAAAA